CCUGAUAGCUCAGUUGGUAAAGAAUCUGCCUGCAGUGCAGGAGACCCAGGUUCAAUUCCUGGGGCAGGA
This 69-nucleotide transfer RNA is filed under the name Bos grunniens (domestic yak). It matches the Rfam family "tRNA". Rfam says of the family: Transfer RNA (tRNA) molecules are approximately 80 nucleotides in length. RNAcentral also lists the same sequence under 1 other name. The record is from Rfam by way of RNAcentral. Lineage: Eukaryota; Metazoa; Chordata; Mammalia; Artiodactyla; Bovidae.